Molecule: ribosomal RNA, 465 nt
Filed under: uncultured bacterium
Lineage: Bacteria
Description: partial 16S ribosomal RNA
Rfam family: Bacterial small subunit ribosomal RNA
Source: RNAcentral
GAUGAACGCUGGCGGCGUGCUUAACACAUGCAAGUCGAACGGAACGGCCUCUUUGGGGCUACUGGUGUGGCGAAGGGGUGAGUAACACGUACGUAACCUGACCUUGACUUCGGGCUACCUUCAGGAAAGGGGGGACAAUACCGGAUGGGAAUCCUUGCUGCAUGGUGGGGGUUGGAAAGCUUAGGCUGUUUUGGAUGCACCCGCGGCUUAGCAGGGUGUUGGGGGUGUUAGGGCUUACCGCGGCUUUGCCGGGUAGCCGGACUGCGAGUGCGACCGGCCACAUUGGCACUGGGACUGGGCCCAGGCCCCUACGGGAGGCAGCAGUGGGGAAGGGUGCUCUAUGGGCGGGAGCGUGAUCCAGCAGCGCCACGUGCGCGAGGACGGACUUCUGGUUGGAAACCGCAUUCUGCAGGGGCGGAGCUUGUGGUGACGGUACCUGCAGAAGAAGCACCGGCUAACUACGUG